Mustela erminea (ermine) is the source of this 107-nucleotide long non-coding RNA. RefSeq lists it as uncharacterized. The transcript is spliced from 3 exons. Lineage: Eukaryota; Metazoa; Chordata; Mammalia; Carnivora; Mustelidae. The record is from RefSeq and is a predicted model, not a curated record.
AGUUCUUAUAUGUAUGCAGACAAUAAAGUUAGAUACCAUGAAGGAUAAAGUAUGACUAUAAUAAUAAAGGUUCAAAAAGAUUUUUCUUUUUAAGAAAGAUAUUAAGA